GACGAACGCUGGCGGCGUGCUUAACACAUGCAAGUCGAGCGGUAAGGCCCUUUCGGGGGUACACGAGCGGCGAACGGGUGAGUAACACGUGGGUGACCUGCCCUCAGCUCUGGGAUAAGCCUGGGAAACCGGGUCUAAUACCGGAUAUGACUCCAUGACGCAUGUUGUGGGGUGGAAAGCCUUGUGCGGCUGAGGAUGGGCCCGCGGCCUAUCAGCUUGUUGGUGGGGNGAUGGCCUACCAAGGCGACGACGGGUAGCCGGCCUGAGAGGGCGACCGGCCACACUGGGACUGAGACACGGCCCAGACUCCUACGGGAGGCAGCAGUGGGGAAUCUUGCGCAAUGGGCGAAAGCCUGACGCAGCGACGCCGCGUGA
This 375-nucleotide ribosomal RNA is filed under the name uncultured bacterium. RNAcentral's name for it is "bacterial SSU rRNA". It matches the Rfam family "Bacterial small subunit ribosomal RNA", at positions 28 to 404 of the family's 1533-position model. The record is from RNAcentral.